Molecule: ribosomal RNA, 513 nt
Filed under: Sungouiella intermedia
Lineage: Eukaryota; Fungi; Ascomycota; Pichiomycetes; Serinales; Metschnikowiaceae
Description: [Candida] intermedia partial large subunit ribosomal RNA
Rfam family: Eukaryotic large subunit ribosomal RNA
Source: RNAcentral
AUUGCCUCAGUACGGCGAGUGAAGCGGCAAAAGCUCAAAUUUGAAAUCCUUCGGGAGUUGUAAUUUGUAGGUUGGGAGACCCCGCGGCUAGUGGCACCAAGUCCCUUGGAACAGGGCGCCUUAGAGGGUGAGAGCCCCGUAGGUACCACAACACCGUCUUGUGUCUCCUCUCCAAAGAGUCGAGUUGUUUGGGAAUGCAGCUCAAAGUGGGUGGUAAAUUCCAUCUAAAGCUAAAUACCGGCGAGAGACCGAUAGCGAACAAGUACAGUGAUGGAAAGAUGAAAAGCACUUUGAAAAGAGAGUGAAACAGUACGUGAAAUUGUUGAAAGGGAAGGGCUUGCAAGCAGACACGGCCUUCGUGCCGGGCCAGCAUCGGUUGCUAGGGGUGGAUAAGGAACAAGGAAUGUAGCUCCUCGGAGUAUUAUAGCCUUGCGCGAUACACCCACUGGCGACCGAGGCCUGCGGUAUUCUUUACCUAGGAUGCUGGCGUAAUGGUUGCAAGCCGCCCGUCUU